Molecule: ribosomal RNA, 253 nt
Filed under: uncultured prokaryote
Description: partial 16S ribosomal RNA
Rfam family: Bacterial small subunit ribosomal RNA
Source: RNAcentral
UACGAAGGGUGCAAGCGUUGCUCGGAAUUAUUGGGCGUAAAGGGUAGGUAGGUGGUGGCAGAAGUCUGAAGUGAAAUCCCUAAGCUUAACUUAGGACGUGCUUUGGAAACUUUGUCACUAGAGUACUAGAGAGGUUCGUGGAAUUCCUGGUGUAGCGGUGAAAUGCGUAGAGAUCAGGAGGAACAUCAGCGGCGAAGGCGGCGGACUGGAUAGUAACUGACACUCAACUACGAAAGCGUGGGGAGCAAACAGG